Molecule: long non-coding RNA, 1051 nt
Filed under: Sorghum bicolor (sorghum)
Lineage: Eukaryota; Viridiplantae; Streptophyta; Magnoliopsida; Poales; Poaceae
Description: long non-coding RNA (SBIC_LNC010987)
Source: RNAcentral
GGCCUUAUUGUGAGAGAAAACCAUUGCUGAUUGAUAGAAAAGGUACAACUUAUAAGACAAGCGAAUGAAGCCAAAGCCGUGGGUUGUUUAAAACUCCUUUUCUACUAUCAGGGUUGUUUAUUUAAAACCUUAGGCGUGGCAAGACCUGCUACUGUCUAUUUUCUAGAAAAGCCCUUCAACUUAUGAAGAGCUGGAUUAGUGUGUGGAAAGAGCUGAUUUCUAAUCCUGUCUAUAUAAUAUAGUUCUUUUUUUGUUAUUUAACUGGAGUCUAGGGACAUUGUUGAUAGUUUGAGGUAGGAUGUGCUCAGUUUAGUACUAAAAAACAGCUUUGACAACACGCAGUUAGCUAAGUAUUUAAAAUUUUAGAAUUAACUUUAAAUUUAAUGUAGCGCAGGAAAUAUAUGUACUAGUAAAAGGAAGAAGGUAAAAUCUGACGUACCAGAAUAAAAUCACAGUCAAGAACAACAAUAUAGUACAGAACGGAUCUGAAAUUUUUGACAACAAAAAAAAAAGAGAAAUGAGCAAUUCUAUAAAUGGAAGGAGACCAGUCCCCGUAACAGAAAGAAAAAAAAGGUAAGAUCUGAAGGAGCAAAAUAUACUGCAGUGAAGAACAGCGAAGUAGAAAACCAAUCUGAAAUCUUUUGCCAAAUAAAACCUAAAAUUAUGUUUAGCCAGCAUAGAGCUACGGGAGAGUGGAGAGAGUAGAGGGAGGAAAAAGGGGGAGAGAGAGAGAGGAAGGGAGAGAAACAGAAUCGGUUUAAUGGAAAGAUGAAAGAGAGAUGGACGACCCGAAAUGGACAAGCCUAUCGCGAGAUAAAGAGGUUUAGGGUUUGACCAGGACAGAUCUUGAAUCAGACCAAUGUUUGGGUCUUGUUUAGUUCACUCUUAGAACCAAAAACUUUUUAAGAUUUUUCAUCACAUCGAAUUUUGUAGCACAUGCAUAAAGUAUUAAAUAUAGUCAAAAACAAAAAUUAAUUACAUAGUUUGCUUGUAAAUUAUGAGAUGAAUCUUUUGAGUCUAGUUAGUCUAUAAUUGAAUGAUAUUUGCCACA